ACCCGCUGAAUUUAAGCAUAUAAGUAGGCGGUGGAAAAUGAACCAAAUGGGAUUCCUUAAGUAAUUGCGAAUGAACAAGGAAAUGCUCAGCUUGAAAAAUGGGGCCUUUGGCUCUGAAUUGUAAUUUUGAAAUGUAUUGCCAAUGGAGGCGCAGGUGCAAGCCUAUUGAAAGAAAGCGUCAAUGAGGGUGAGAUUCCUUUUUGUCAUUUGCAGUCCUCCGUGCACGGUAUAUAUUUGACGAGUCACACUCCUCGGCAUUGGAAUGCAAAGUGGGUGGUAAAUUCCAUGUAAAGGUAAAUAUAUUAUUGAGACUGAUAGCAAACAAGUACCAUGAGGGAAAUACGAAAAGGACUUUGAAAAGAGAAUUAAAAGAGUCUGCAUUUGCUGAACAGAAAGCAAACAGAAUUGAUUUUACUUGGUGAGAUUGUUGUGCUUACUCUAUCAUUUAUAUGGUUGAUGUGGGUGCGAUGGUUCUUACCUUGAAUGUCAGCUUCUAUUUCUGCAAAUCAUUACCCUUGCACAUGAAUGGUAAUUUGCCUGCGGGUAUUGGAGUGCAUGUGUUUGCAAUGAUUUGUGAUUUGACGCAUGUGUUUGGUGAAAUUUGUAUAUGCUCUUUUGUCGAAGGGGAAAGCUUACUUUUUUGAGCAUUGCAAGCCCUUACACAUCAGUGCUGGCAAAAUGUUUCUGCUUGACCCGUCUUGAAACACGGACCAAGG
This 716-nucleotide ribosomal RNA is filed under the name Alexandrium minutum. Its description in RNAcentral is "partial 24S large subunit ribosomal RNA". It matches the Rfam family "Eukaryotic large subunit ribosomal RNA", at positions 23 to 671 of the family's 3401-position model. Lineage: Eukaryota; Dinophyceae; Gonyaulacales; Pyrocystaceae. The record is from RNAcentral.